UCGGGAAUUAUUGGGCGUAAAGAGCUCGUAGGCGGUUUGUCGCGUCUGCUGUGAAAACUGGAGGCUCAACCUCCAGCCUGCAGUGGGUACGGGCAGACUAGAGUGCGGUAGGGGAGAUUGGAAUUCCUGGUGUAGCGGUGGAAUGCGCAGAUAUCAGGAGGAACACCGAUGGCGAAGGCAGAUCUCUGGGCCGUAACUGACGCUGAGGAGCGAAAGGGUGGGGAGCAAACAGGCUUAGAUACCCUGGUAGUCCACCCCGUAAACGUUGGGAACUAGUUGUGGGGUCCAUUCCACGGAUUCCGUGACGCAGCUAACGCAUUAAGUUCCCCGCCUGGGGAGUACGGCCCGCAAGGCUAAAACUCAAAUGAAUUGACGGGGACCCGCACAAGCGGCGGAGCAUGCGGAUUAAUUCGAUGCAACGCGAAGAACCUUACCAAGGCUUGACAUAUACGAGAACGGGCCAGAAAUGGUUCAACUCUUUGGACACUCGUAAACAGGUGGUGGCAUAGGUUGUCGUCAGCCUCGUGUCGUGAAGAUGUUGGGUUAAGUCCCGCAACGAGCGCAACCCUCGUUCUUAUGUUGCCAGCACGUAAUGGUGGGAACUCAUGGGAUACUGCCGGGGUCAACUCGGAGGAAGGUGGGGAUGACGUCAAAUCAUCAUGCCCCUUAUGUCUUGGGCUUCACGCAUGCUACAAUGGCCGGUACAAAGGGCUGCAAUACCGUAAGGUGGAGCGAAUCCCAAAAAGCCGGUCCCAGUUCGGAUUGAGGUCUGCAACUCGACCUCAUGAAGUCGGAGUCGCUAGUAAUCGCAGAUCAGCAACGCUGCGGUGAAUACGUUCCCGGGUCUUGUACACACCGCCCGUCAAGUCAUGAAAGUCGGUAACACCUGAAGCCGGUGGCCCAACCCUUGUGGAGGGAGCCGUCGAAAGGUGGGAUUGGUAAUUAGGACUAAGUCGUA
RNAcentral lists this ribosomal RNA (958 nucleotides) under Microbacterium sp. zf-106-II. RNAcentral describes it as "bacterial SSU rRNA". It matches the Rfam family "Bacterial small subunit ribosomal RNA", at positions 544 to 1490 of the family's 1533-position model. The record is from RNAcentral. Lineage: Bacteria; Bacillati; Actinomycetota; Actinomycetes; Micrococcales; Microbacteriaceae.